AUUGUAAACAAAAAAUUUGAAAAAAUCUUUGAACUUCUUCAGAUUUUUUUCGGAUCAAACGGUUCCCAUUUAUAAGGAGGAAAGGUUGGCCAAGAUGGGUCCACUAUUGAUAUCCUUCAUCAAAAUUCCUUCAAGUUUUAUCAGUGCUGUUUUCUGGAAUCGAACCUCCUGGACAGCGAAAUAUGUAUCUCGAAAGUGUUCUGGUUUGAAACAAGCCUUUGAUAAUGCUAGAGUCGAAGUUUAAAGUAGCGAGCAUAAGAAACGUGUUGAAGACAUGCAGCAGAACAACAGGCUCGACCUCAACCAAUCUCAACCAUGUCUAAACCAUAUCAA
Molecule: long non-coding RNA, 333 nt
Organism: Uranotaenia lowii
Lineage: Eukaryota; Metazoa; Arthropoda; Insecta; Diptera; Culicidae
Exons: 3
Source: RefSeq, a predicted model, not a curated record